RNAcentral lists this long non-coding RNA (1668 nucleotides) under Nicotiana benthamiana. RNAcentral's name for it is "long non-coding RNA (NBEN_LNC025047)". The record is from RNAcentral. Lineage: Eukaryota; Viridiplantae; Streptophyta; Magnoliopsida; Solanales; Solanaceae.
UCUACAGUGGGCAAGUGAAAAUUAUGUGUCUCUGGUCGUCAUCGCUCAAUCAAGGCCGUGAUGAGAGACCAAUCAAGCUGCAUCCGUCCAAGCUCAAAAAUUGUAUAUAACCCCGUAGCCUGGAGGUGCACCACUAUGCGAUCAUGGAAAGGAUGCGUCGCGAUAAACUCCCACAAAUCGUCAGGUCUCCUGGGGUGGAGAGCCUGCAUCGACAGAUGUCCCUCCCAUACAAAGGAGGACCUAUAGUCACCCUGCAGCACUAAUAGCUCAUCCUCGGCAGGUCCAGGAUGCGCAGACAGAGGAAAGGCCAUGUCGUCUACUAUAAUUUAAACAAAAUUAAUUGUUUGUGUUAGUUUAAUAAAUUAAAUAAUGAAUUAUAUUUAAUUAGCUUGGAGGCACUCUACUAUGCGAUCAUGAAAAGGAUGCGUCGCGAUAAACUCCCACAAAUCGUCAGGUCUCCUGGGGCGGAGAGCCUGCAUCGAUAGUUGCCCCUCCCAUAUAAAGAAUGACCUAUGAUCAUCCUGCAACACUAAUAGAUGACCCUCAACAGGUCCAGGAUGCGCAUGCAGAGGAAAGGUCAUGUCGUCUACUAUAAUUUAAACAAAAUUAAUUAUUUGUGUUAGUUUAAUAAAUCAAAAUAAUUAAUUAUGUUUAGUAUUUGAGUGAAUAGUUAUGUAUGAGUUCCAGACUUGAUUUUUAAGGCCCGGUAGCACAGAGUUAUCCUUAAUUAUUAUGUGUAUCAAUUUCAACAUUUUUAGAAUUUUGUUAACUUAAAGAAUUAAAUUACAAAUUUUUGAAUUGGAGUGAAAGUUAUGUAUGGGUUCCAGUCUUGAUUUUUAGGCCCGGUAGCACCGAGUAAUCCUUAAUUAUUAUGCGUGUCAACAAUAAAUUAUUAUCCUUAAUUAUUGUUACGUUAAAAGGCUCUAUAUUUUACUACACUAAAAGGCUCUACAUACAAAUUUAUCAACAAUAAUAUGAACAUAAUAUUAACAAUACAAUUAAACAAAAUAAAUAAAAUUAUUUAACAAUACAAAUUAUUUAUCAAAUUUUAAUAUAAAUUAUUUAUUAAAAUUUAAUAUUAUCCCAAAGUAAAUAAAUCAAUCUGGGUAUAUAAAAGAUACACAUUUAAAUACAAACAUAACAUAAAUUAACAUAAAAACACAUUAAAUAAUAAAAAUAUACAUAUACUAUACGAGUUUUGGCAUAAACUAAAUAGAAAUACCUCAAUUUAAAUUUUUUAAAUUUGAUUGAAAUUGAUUUCUUUCCCUUGAAAGACGGAUCCAAUACUUGUCUUGUCUGUGGGACCUACACUCCUUGCUUUUUUGGUGACGUGUGGAACCAAAAAAAUAUUUAAAUUACGGGGGUAGAGGACCAGUGGUGUUAAAGUUGUUUUUUAAUGGGGGAGGCUUCUUUCGUGAAGAAGAAGAGUUAUAUUUUUUUAAAUAAAUUCGCAAUACUAUACAGCGAUUUAGUAAUUCGCAAUAUAGUUUUGCAAAUUGCUUAAAAAUAAUUUUUAAUGCAAUUCGCAAUACUAUACUACGAAUUAUUAAAUCAUAAUAUAAUACUGCGAAUUAUAUUAGAAAAAUUAAAAUAAUUUAUAAUAUUAUACUGCAAAUUACUUUAACAAUAAAAUUUUCGUUACGUUAAAAUUUUCACUAAAGUAAUUCG